CGGUGCUUGAGGAGGACUCAGACUGGUCCGUGGUAAGGUGCAAGAACAGCAUUGUGAUUUAGGUUGAAAAUUACAUAUGGUAUGUGGCUGUACAUAUUUGGGAAACGUCUCUAUUUGUGUAGAUUAAGAAGGUGAGAAUUUUACAGAUGAGGGGAUGAGAGUUUUACUGUUGUAGGUCAAAGAUUCCAGUAUCUGUUGUCUAGUUGCUUCUCUUCUGAACUUCUUGG
This 227-nucleotide unclassified non-coding RNA is filed under the name Hevea brasiliensis (rubber tree). The record is from RNAcentral. Lineage: Eukaryota; Viridiplantae; Streptophyta; Magnoliopsida; Malpighiales; Euphorbiaceae.